UCAUAGGUCCUCCCGGCCUCACAGCCGGCGA
This 31-nucleotide small RNA is filed under the name Bombyx mori (domestic silkworm). RNAcentral describes it as "ovarian small RNA-7033". Lineage: Eukaryota; Metazoa; Arthropoda; Insecta; Lepidoptera; Bombycidae. The record is from RNAcentral.